Molecule: ribosomal RNA, 598 nt
Filed under: Oncotympana maculaticollis
Lineage: Eukaryota; Metazoa; Arthropoda; Insecta; Hemiptera; Cicadidae
Description: partial 12S ribosomal RNA
Source: RNAcentral
GUGCCAGCAACCGCGGUUAUACAAGAUUUUCAAUUUAAUAUAUGCAAGUAUUCAGUUAAUUGUUAUUUUUUUUAUAAUUUUAUGAAUUUUGGUGAAAUAAUAUUUGUUAUAAAUAUAAAUUUUAUAUAUCUGAUAAACUAUUAGUAUAAACUAGGAUUAGAUACCCUAUUAUUUAAAGUGUAAAUUAAAUUAACUUGAUUAUUAAUAGAUAUAAUCUUUAAAUUCAAAGAAUUUGGCGGUAAUUUAUCUUAUCAGAGGAACCUGUUUUAUAAUUGAUAAUCCACGAUAGAUUAUACUUCAUUAUGACUUGUAUACCGCUGUCAAGAAUGUUCUUUUAGGAAAUUUUCUGUAUCUUUAAUAAACUUUAUGUCAGGUCAAGGUGCAGUUACAAUUAUGAAAGCAAAAAUGGGUUACUUUUAUUAUAUAAUUGAAUAUACUCUAUUAUAUUUAGAUUAUUGAAAUUGAAUUUGAAAAUAAAUUAAUUUAAUUUAAUUAAUUGAAAUAAGCUCUAUAUUAUGCACAUAUCGCCCGUCACUCUCAUUUUAAGAUGAGAUAAGUCGUAACAAAGUAGCUGUACCGGAAGGUGUAGCUAGAAUGA